RNAcentral lists this ribosomal RNA (256 nucleotides) under uncultured bacterium. RNAcentral's name for it is "partial 16S ribosomal RNA". It matches the Rfam family "Bacterial small subunit ribosomal RNA", at positions 524 to 776 of the family's 1533-position model. The record is from RNAcentral.
UACGGAGGGAGCAAGCGUUACUCGGAAUCAUUGGGCGUAAAGGGCGCGUAGGCGAUUCGGUAAGUCUCAUGUGAAAGCCCACAGCCUAACUGUGGAAGUGCAUGAGAUACUGUCGAAUUUGAGUUCAGGAGAGGAAGGCAGAAUUCCCGGUGUAGCGGUGAAAUGCGUAGAUAAUCGGGAGGAAUACCAGUGGCGAAGGGCGGCCUUCUGGACGUGACACUUGACGCUGAGGCGCGAAAGCCAGGGAGCAAACGGG